RNAcentral lists this ribosomal RNA (301 nucleotides) under uncultured bacterium. Its description in RNAcentral is "partial 16S ribosomal RNA". It matches the Rfam family "Bacterial small subunit ribosomal RNA", at positions 509 to 809 of the family's 1533-position model. The record is from RNAcentral.
CAGCAGCCGCGGGAAUACGAAGGGUGCAAGCGUUAAUCGGAAUUACUGGGCGUAAAGCGUGCGUAGGCGGUUGUGUAAGACAGGUGUGAAAUCCCCGGGCUUAACCUGGGAACUGCGCUUGUGACUGCACAGCUAGAGUAUGGCAGAGGGGGGUGGAAUUCCACGUGUAGCAGUGAAAUGCGUAGAGAUGUGGAGGAACACCGAUGACGAAGGCAGCCCCCUGGGCCAAUACUGACGCUCAUGCACGAAAGCGUGGGGAGCAAACAGGAUUAGAUACCCCGGUAGUCCCUGUCUCUUAUAU